Drosophila nasuta is the source of this 660-nucleotide long non-coding RNA. RefSeq lists it as uncharacterized. The record is from RefSeq and is a predicted model, not a curated record. The transcript is spliced from 4 exons. NCBI's taxonomy places the organism in Eukaryota, Metazoa, Arthropoda, Insecta, Diptera, Drosophilidae.
AAUAUUCGUUAAGAAUUUUGUGCUGCAGUUGAGAACAAAUAAUGCCAAAAUCAAAAAAAAAAGCCAAACAGCAGCGGCGUAAUCAGCCGCAGAUGCGGGUUCUCCUGAAGACAACAGGAACGGGGAUAGAACAGUGGAGACCAACAACAAUGGAGCUGGAGCAGAACGAAAUUGACAAAAUGACGGCUACAUGGACAGAAAUAAUGAACCGGAAGAAUGGUGAAUUAAAUGAAAGUGACCCAGCUUGAGCUGGAAAACAUGUAGCUGAAAACAAAUAAUUAGGCCAAAGAAGUCAAGCUGGUUGAGCUGAACAACUAUUAAGCAAAAGUCAAGGAAUGUAUCAUGAUGGAACAAAAACUUGCCCAGACUGAGGCAAUAGUGCAACAUUAUGAGGGGAUUAUAAAGGCAUCGAUAGAAAAUCAUAGACAGUCACAAAUAUCGAUGGAGUGUGCCAUUCAAAAAACCCCCCGACGACUUUAAUCGCGAAGCUGCUAAUAAGGUGUUAAGAGAGAGAGUUUGAUGCUGCGUCCGACGACGGUUCAACGAUUUCAAAUACAGCUGCAACUGCAGUUGCUACAAGAUUAAGAAAUCGUCGAAUUUAAUUUAAACAAGUAAAAAAAUUCUUGAGCAAUAUUUGCAUUUGUUUUGUUUUUUUAUUUG